RNAcentral lists this ribosomal RNA (462 nucleotides) under uncultured bacterium. Its description in RNAcentral is "partial 16S ribosomal RNA". It matches the Rfam family "Bacterial small subunit ribosomal RNA", at positions 338 to 795 of the family's 1533-position model. The record is from RNAcentral.
CCUACGGGUGGCAGCAGUGAGGAAUAUUGGUCAAUGGACGCAAGUCUGAACCAGCCAAGUAGCGUGCAGGAUGCCGGCCCUCCGGGUUGUAAACUGCUUUUAGUUGGGAAUAAAAGGGGGCUCGUGAGCCCCGUAUGGUAUGUACCAUCAGAAAAAGGACCGGCUAAUUACGUGCCAGCAGGCGCGGUAAUACGGAGGGUCCGGGCGUUAUCCGGAUUGAUUGGGUUUAAAGGGGGCGUAGGCCGGCUUUUAAGUCAGCUGUGAAAGUCCGGGGCUCAACCGGGGAAUUGCAGUUGAAACUGGAGGCCUUUAGUGCACACAGGGAUGCCGGAAUUCAUGGUGUAGCGGUGAAAUGCUUAGAUAUCAUGAAGAACACCGAUGGCGAAGGCAAGUGUCCGGGGUGCAACUGACGCUGAGGCUCGAAAGUGCGGAUAUCAAACAGGAUUAGAUACCCUUGUAGUC